Molecule: microRNA precursor, 96 nt
Organism: Cavia porcellus (domestic guinea pig)
Lineage: Eukaryota; Metazoa; Chordata; Mammalia; Rodentia; Caviidae
Source: Ensembl
GCUGUAGGGAUCUGGCACUGUGGUUCCUGCAUGAAGACAGUGGCUGGUGGUGCCUGGACCUACAACACCACUUCUGCAGUCACAGUCAAGUCAGCC